CUUAUUCGUCUCAUCCUAUGAAAAUGUUAAUAAUCUCGCAACACCCGCGAGGAUUUAUUCGGCACGAUUUAUCCGGCAGACGCAUAUAUUCUCGGCGCCGCGAGACGGACCAGCUAUCCUGUAGGAAAGCAACUCCCAGACGAACUCUCCUCGCCAAUGCCCCGACGCCGGGUUCAUGAAAGGAAGCGGGAAGAAAACGCAACGGACCCUGGAGACGGAAACGAGAGGAGCAAAUGGGUAAAGAAAGAGCGUAAAAAUCAAGAGUGGCUAUUCGGGAAACAAUGAACUAACAAUGGAAUACAUGAAAUAGCGAGAAAGGAUAAACUGACGGGCGGAGGUUGUUGGCCGGAGCUGGCUACAGGGCGCUGUUCGAUUUUGGGAGUUGAGCUUGGUCCGGGGUUGUCUAGCCAUGCGGGGGUUGUCCGGGUGGCUCAGGUUCAAGGACACACCGGUCGAUAAACCCCCGACAAGACUGGAAAAAGGGAGGAGACGCGACUAGGGGCGGAAGAGGAAAGAGCUAGAUUGCCUGCAGACUGCGGAAAUUUAUCGCGUACGGGAUUGAUCACGUCGUAAUAAUAUCCACAGGACGAGUAAAUUUUUGAAUAAUUUCUUGCUUGCGUAAGCUGAAUUUUUACGAAGAACAGCAAAACGUCGCGAUCGAUAAAAGCAUCUGUAAAAUGCGAGUGUUGAAAAUCGGAUUCGUUGCAGAUACAACAGAUUACGCGUACAUAUAGAAGUUGGAGUUAACUUCUGCUUAGUGAAUAUAUAGCGGGCAAUUUAAUUACGGAGAAAAACGCAAGAUAAAUUGCCUCAUAGUCGUUCGUUGGAUAUUCAAAAACAAGAUAAAUCAAGGACAGUAACGCGCGCGUUGGGCGUAAAAUUAAACCGGCUGAAUAUCAAGCUCUGCAAUGCGGUAAAUG
Long non-coding RNA from Odontomachus brunneus, 920 nucleotides. RefSeq lists it as uncharacterized. The record is from RefSeq and is a predicted model, not a curated record. The transcript has 3 exons. NCBI's taxonomy places the organism in Eukaryota, Metazoa, Arthropoda, Insecta, Hymenoptera, Formicidae.